GCCAGGGGUGAUAGUAUGUUGAACACAUCAAUUCCCAAUGGAUCAGUGAAGUUAAGCAAUGUUGUGUGUGGUUAGCAUCUGGAUGAGUGGCCAUCUGGGCUUGUGUGUGUUACUGUUU
This 118-nucleotide ribosomal RNA is filed under the name Diaphorina citri (Asian citrus psyllid). Lineage: Eukaryota; Metazoa; Arthropoda; Insecta; Hemiptera; Psyllidae. The record is from RNAcentral.